GACGGGGGAUGCAAGUGUUAUCCGGAAUAAUUGGGCGUAAAGCGUCUGUAGGUGGUUUACCAAGUCUGUUGUUAAAAAAUCAGGGCUUAACCCUGAUCCGGCAACAGAAACUAGUAGGCUGGAGUACGGUAGGGGCAGAGGGAAUUCUCGGUGUAGUGGUGAAAUACGUAGAUAUCGAGAAGAACACCAAUAGCGAAAGCACUCUGCUGGGCCGAAACUGACAUUGAGAGACGAAAGCUAGGGAGCGAAAGGGAU
This 255-nucleotide ribosomal RNA is filed under the name uncultured bacterium. Its description in RNAcentral is "partial 16S ribosomal RNA". It matches the Rfam family "Bacterial small subunit ribosomal RNA", at positions 524 to 778 of the family's 1533-position model. The record is from RNAcentral.